GCCGAAACUGAGUCACAUCCGAAUUUUUUUUUUGUACCCGGAAUCGAACUCAGGAACUUGUGCUUGUCAGGCAGGUGACAGAACCACUGAGAUAAAUCCCCAGCCCACAUAUGCAUUUUUGAAUAAAUCAUGGUACCAUUUAUUUGACUCUCUUUAGAAUGAUAAAUCUUGGCCUUGGAGGUAAGGUCAUUUCUUCAAACUGAUAUUUGUUAAUUGCUGGGUAGCAUAAUGGCCCGGGCCACGCCCAUGGCACGGUGAGGUCUCAGAGGUGUCUUGCAGCCCCACCCCCACCUGACGCUCUCAAAGCUGCAGCGACCGGCUCCGUUGAGACAAGACAAGCAGCUUGGGGUUCCUGCGGCCGUCCCGGGCCAUGCCCACGGCACGGUUGUGUACUGAGUGUGAGUUGGGGGCAAUCAGCAGCCCAGGGGCUAUUUUACGUCCAGUGUGAGGAAAAGUUCAGUUGAAGAGAUCCUAGUAGAUGACCUCACUUCUUUAUGAUGACACUUUGCUCAGAACCCUGUUGCCAAGCAACACAUAGCACCACUGACUGAUGCCUGCUCACUUGUCUGGAGACACAGGACAUGUCCCACUCCAGGAUGAAAAGGAGUCAAGCCUGACUCUGGAUACUCAAGCUUGCUUAGAGCUUUUGAAGAUGGAUGUAAGGGAAUCCAUGGUCAACCAUCUUGUGCGAUCCUUGCUUCAAGGGAACUGUUUGUUCCUGCACAAGUUUUUGCAAAACUACCAAGAUUUGGGACCAUGCAGCAGGAGCUGGAUCUGCUGUUGAAAAGUGCCACUCUACCAUCUUGGGUACAUGGCUGGAAAAGUAUCCAGACCAGUUCCAGCAGCCUCCGGAGUUCACGUGCCUCAAGCAGCUGGUGGAGUACGUGCAGCUGCACAUGCCUGGCUCAGACCUGGAGCACUGUACGCACCUUCUACUGGCCCAGCUGAAAGACACACAGACUAUGAAGGCCAAGCCUGGGGGUGAGGAGGCCUGGGAUGUGUCCAUCAAAGCACAUGAGGAAGCCCAGGCAGCAGCACCAGUGCCAGGUCCAACUGGAGAGCGAGAGGCAGCUCCAGCAGCAGCCUCUAAGCCAGCAGUAGAUCCACCACCCAUUCUGGGGCAAGAGUUGGCUGCAGUGCCAGCUCCAUGGCCAGGUGCACCUAGAAAGCUACCUUGGGUUAUUCCAAAGAAGAAGCAGACUGGAACUGAGACUCUGGAGCUGGAGCCAGCCACAGCAGGCCCACUUCUACCAGUGGUGCCAUCCUGGCCUUCACCUAUGACCAUGAAAACCAGGGAUUCCACCUGGUUGCAGCAGGGCAAAAAGGCCAAGGAGCAGCUGCCGGCCUCCAUCUGCACCACUGUCAUUCAUCUCCCAAGUGUGUCAUCAGCACCGUCCUCAGGCACUACAUCAUGAAAGCCUCAGGCCAUGCCCAGGUGGUGGAGCACAGGGUCUCCAGGGACCCUCAGGAGUGCCAAAUUCUGAGGAACCGUGCCUCUCUCUCUGGGCUGUGAAUCAGCGUUAUCCAGUGCCUGAUGGAAACCUGGCAAGACUUCUCCAGGUGGCUGCACCUCUCCAUUGGAGCUCCAGGUGAACCAGCACCAUAAACUGGACAAAAUAUGUGCAGAACUUGUCUGUGAAGGUAGAAAUGUCUAGAAUGUAUUUUAUAAAGUUCCCC
Heterocephalus glaber (naked mole-rat) is the source of this 1677-nucleotide long non-coding RNA. The record is from Ensembl. Lineage: Eukaryota; Metazoa; Chordata; Mammalia; Rodentia; Bathyergidae.